AACGUGCCCAGUAAUGGGGGAUAGCCCGGCGAAAGCCGGAUUAAUACCGCAUACGACCUACGGGUGAAAGCGGGGGAUCGCAAGACCUCGCGUUAUUGGAGCGGCCGAUAUCAGAUUAGCUUGUUGGUGGGGUAAAAGCCUACCAAGGCGACGAUCUGUAGCUGGUCUGAGAGGACGACCAGCCACACUGGGACUGAGACACGGCCCAGACUCCUACGGGAGGCAGCAGUGGGGAAUUUUGGACAAUGGGCGCAAGCCUGAUCCAGCCAUGCCGCGUGUGG
This 281-nucleotide ribosomal RNA is filed under the name uncultured bacterium. Its description in RNAcentral is "partial 16S ribosomal RNA". It matches the Rfam family "Bacterial small subunit ribosomal RNA", at positions 123 to 406 of the family's 1533-position model. The record is from RNAcentral.